GACGAACGCUGGCGGCGUGCUUAACACAUGCAAGUCGAGCGGUAAGGCCCUUUCGGGGGUACACGAGCGGCGAACGGGUGAGUAACACGUGGGUGACCUGCCCUCAGCUCUGGGAUAAGCCUGGGAAACCGGGUCUAAUACCGGAUAUGACUCCAUGACGCAUGUUGUGGGGUGGAAAGCCUUGUGCGGCUGAGGAUGGGCCCGCGGCCUAUCAGCUUGGUUGGGUGGGGUGAUGGCCUACCAAGGCGACGACGGGUAGCCGGCCUGAGAGGGCGACCGGCCACACUGGGACUGAGACACGGCCCAGACUCCGUACGGGAGGCAGCAGUGGGGAAUCUUGCGCAAGUGGGACGAAACGCCUGACGCAGCGACGCCGCGUGA
RNAcentral lists this ribosomal RNA (381 nucleotides) under uncultured bacterium. RNAcentral's name for it is "bacterial SSU rRNA". It matches the Rfam family "Bacterial small subunit ribosomal RNA", at positions 28 to 404 of the family's 1533-position model. The record is from RNAcentral.